AUACGUAGGGUGCAAGCGUUAAUCGGAAUUACUGGGCGUAAAGCGUGCGCAGGCGGUUUUGUAAAACAGAGGGGAAAUCCCCGGGCCCAACCUGGGACUUGCCUUGGGUCUGGCAGGCCAAAGGUACGGCAAAGGGGGGUGGAAUUCCGCGUGUGAAGGGAAAUGGCGUAGAUAUGCGGAGGAACACCGAUGGCGAAGGCAAUCCCCUGGGCCUGUACUGACGCUCAUGCACGAAAGCGUGGGGAGCAAACAGGAUUAGAUACCCUGGUAGUCCACGCCCUAAACGAUGUCAACUGGUUGUUGGGUCUUCAUUGACUCAGUAACGAAGCUAACGCGUGAAGUUGACCGCCUGGGGAGUACGGCCGCAAGGUUGAAACUCAAAUGAAUUGACGGGG
RNAcentral lists this ribosomal RNA (395 nucleotides) under uncultured bacterium. Its description in RNAcentral is "partial 16S ribosomal RNA". It matches the Rfam family "Bacterial small subunit ribosomal RNA", at positions 523 to 918 of the family's 1533-position model. The record is from RNAcentral.